GAUGAAGAACGUAGUGAAAUGCGAUAAGUAGUGUGAAUUGCAGAAUUCCGUGAAUCAUCGAAUCUUUGAACGCACAUUGCGCCUUCUGGUAUUCCGGAAGGCAUGCCUGUUCGAGAGUCAUUAACAACCGUUUCGAUCCCUUUCUUUCAGAAAUUACAAAGAGGAAAAGGGUUUGGUUAUGGUGGAGGAGGGAAAGGGGGCGUUUAGCAUGUAAAAAAAGAGGCUGGGUUCCGCCUCCCCCCCAAAAUUGUACAGGCGGUCGUGUGCGCCCACGCAUCGAGGUGUUGUAAAAGCUGCCACGGCACUUUUCACCUGUGCAGUGCGAGAUUGGCCAGCCGGUUUAAAAACCCCUCCAAACAAUCAAAGGUUGACCUCGGAUCAGGUAGGGAUACCCGCUGAACUUAAGCAUAUCAAUAAGCGGAGGA
RNAcentral lists this unclassified non-coding RNA (425 nucleotides) under soil metagenome. RNAcentral's name for it is "partial contains 5.8S ribosomal RNA, internal transcribed spacer 2, and large subunit ribosomal RNA". The stretch from base 1 to 120 matches the Rfam family "5.8S ribosomal RNA", at positions 35 to 154 of the family's 154-position model. The record is from RNAcentral.